RNAcentral lists this ribosomal RNA (253 nucleotides) under uncultured bacterium. Its description in RNAcentral is "partial 16S ribosomal RNA". It matches the Rfam family "Bacterial small subunit ribosomal RNA", at positions 524 to 776 of the family's 1533-position model. The record is from RNAcentral.
UACGUAGGGUGCAAGCGUUGUUCGGAAUCACUGGGCGUAAAGGGCGCGUAGGCGGAGAGAUUAGCUAGAGGUGAAAUCCCGGGGCUCAACCCCGGAAGUGCUUCUAGAACUGUCUUUCUAGAGAUGGUCAGGGGUCCGUGGAAUUCCUGGUGUAGAGGUGAAAUUCGUAGAUAUCAGGAGGAACACCGGUGGCGAAAGCGGCGGACUGGGGCUCAUCUGACGCUGAGGCGCGAAAGCAUGGGGAGCAAACAGG